ACGGAAGGCAGCAGUGGGGAAUAUUGGACAAUGGGGGAAACCCUGAUCCAGCGACGCCGCGUGAGUGAAGAAGUAUUUCGGUAUGUAAAGCUCUAUCAGCAAGGAAGAAAAUGACGGUACUUGACUAAGAAGCUCCGGCUAAAUACGUGCCAGCAGCCGCGGUAAUACGUAUGGAGCAAGCGUUAUCCGGAUUUACUGGGUGUAAAGGGAGCGUAGACGGCAAAGCAAGUCUGAAGUGAAAUCCCGGGGCUCAACCCCGGAACUGCUUUGGAAACUGUUUAGCUAGAGUGCAGGAGAGGUAAGCGGAAUUCCUAGUGUAGCGGUGAAAUGCGUAGAUAUUAGGAGGAACACCAGUGGCGAAGGCGGUCUACUGGACGAUAACUGACGCUGAGGCGCGAAAGCGUGGGGAGCAAACAGGAUUAGAUACCCUGGUA
Molecule: ribosomal RNA, 434 nt
Filed under: uncultured Lachnospiraceae bacterium
Lineage: Bacteria; Bacillati; Bacillota; Clostridia; Lachnospirales; Lachnospiraceae
Description: partial 16S ribosomal RNA
Rfam family: Bacterial small subunit ribosomal RNA
Source: RNAcentral